This 253-nucleotide ribosomal RNA is filed under the name uncultured bacterium. Its description in RNAcentral is "partial 16S ribosomal RNA". It matches the Rfam family "Bacterial small subunit ribosomal RNA", at positions 524 to 776 of the family's 1533-position model. The record is from RNAcentral.
UACGGGGGGAGCAAGCGUUGUUCGGAUUUGCUGGGCGUAAAGGGCUCGUAGGCGGCCAACUAAGUCAGACGUGAAAUCCCUCGGCUUAACCGGGGAACUGCGUCUGAUACUGGAUGGCUUGAGAUUGGGAGAGGGAUGCGGAAUUCCAGGUGUAGCGGUGAAAUGCGUAGAUAUCUGGAGGAACACCGGUGGCGAAGGCGGCAUCCUGGACCAACACUGACGCUGAGGAGCGAAAGCCAGGGGAGCAAACGGG